This 142-nucleotide ribosomal RNA is filed under the name uncultured eukaryote. RNAcentral describes it as "partial 18S ribosomal RNA". It matches the Rfam family "Eukaryotic small subunit ribosomal RNA", at positions 1299 to 1458 of the family's 1831-position model. The record is from RNAcentral.
UGGUGGAGUGAUUUGUCAGGUUAAUUCCGAUAACGAGCGAGACCGUCAUGAGGUGUUGGGAUUGUAUAGUGAAUUUUGCUAUAUUUAAUUGAACCCUCCUCAGACUCUUUACAAAAGUAAAGGGAAGUUGACGGCAAUAACA